CAGGCCCCAGCACCGUAACUGCGCAGAUAACUUUCUGUUCGCCACAAGGAACAUAACAUGGUUACGGUGCGCCGUGCCCUCGAUUCCUUCGAUCUCCUACGAAAUUGAUGCCGUCGAAUCCUACGGCUCAAAGCUCUUUGUCGAUUGCCGCGAUGGAGCCCCUCGAAUAUGCGGUCCCGAACCUUCAUGGUCCGACCCAUCUUCACCCUCAGAUUACCGUCGCCUAUAUCAAGAGCUGAGAAAGGAAACUUAUGCUCUGGAGAGAACUAUUGCUGGGUUUUCAAAGAAGCCUCUCUUGUCGAUGGAGCUAUUGGCAUCCAUGAUCUCUAUCUGAAUCAAUCGCCUUCGAUAUAUUUCGCAAUUUGAAGACUUUAGCAGUCAUCAGCAAGGCUAAAGGCACCAAUGUCUACUCAUGGGAAGACAGAAGAGGCUUUUUGUGCUUCGCUAGGCAAAAGCGAGGCUUUUUGGGCAUAUGCAUAAAGAUGAAAUUAGCUUUUGAAUUGUGCUUGGUUCCUUGCAUUACAGCGCACUUUAGUUACAUGUCAGGAAGCACUGCAUCUACCGUGUCAAAUUAUGUUUGGAAUCAAACGAACAAGUUUGGAAUGUCUUCAUAAGAAGAACUACUAGAUGUACAGGAGAACAUUGGGGUCUUCAUGGACCCAAGUGGCAAGCUUCUUCAAAAGAAAGGAUUUGUUGGUCGGUAGCCCCUUCUGUCGUUGUCAUUCAGAAACCGUAUACAGUAGCUCUGCUUCCAAGACGUGUUGAGAUUUGGUCAACUCUUAUUUGAAGCAGCAUGCUCCAAGCAUGCAUGGCAGGUAUUUAGAACUUAUGCUUGCAAUCAAUGAAAAUGGAUUCUCUGGCGACGUGCAGAAUGAAAUGGUGAAGAUUUCUUACUUUUAGCGCUACAAUUUUCAUAAUUUUAUAACUCUAACUGACUUGGCAAAACCGAUGGUGCUGCUAGACUUGCAUGACCACUGUUGCUGCAGUUAAUUUUGAUAAAUGAUUAGAUGUAGUUAUAUAUCCUAUGUGUGGGAGGUACAAAUCUAUCUUUGGAAGUACUUAGUGGCACACUGACUUGAGUGCUCAGCAACGGGAUGAGAAGACUUAUUCCCCCAACGAGGAAAAAAAUUAUUGUCUGCUUUAGAGAGCAUCUCAGGGUAUAAACCAGAGGCUUUGUUGAAAUGGCUUUCAGCAGAUGCAUUAUAUGAAGAGCGUGCAAUUUUAUUGUGAAAAAUGAACCAAUAUUAGCUUGCCUUGUCUCCUUACGUUCAUAAGGUACUUUUUGGUGUAAAUUAAUCUGUUCAAGUGAGAUCAUUAAUGCGUGAUAUCACUCACAAGGGAACGUCAUUUAAGGUUUGCCUUUUAUAUGGAAAUUUGGCUUAUCCCUGGCUAGGCAUGAGGCCUGUCCAGGUUUGAUCAGCUCCUGGAUUUGACCAGAUCUAUAUUGAACCUGAUCGAAACCAGAUUUUUCACUUUGAAAGAAGAUUAAAAAAUGUUGACUGUUGGAUUUGACCAAACUUGGAUUGAACUAGACGAACAAACUCUAUAGGGACUGAAACUAAACCAUAACCAGGGCCAGAACCAAGAGAUACCCUUUGGUUAGGUCCCAGGUCCCAACCGUUCAAACUGGAACAGUGGGUCUGGUUCUGGUUCUAGUUUUUGGUUCCAGCAUGGAACUGGAAAUUGUCCUUGUGUAAUCCCUGGAAAAAGCAAAUGGCAAGGUGGAGAUAGAAAAGCCUUCAAUUCUUUAAUCAAAAUUAUUUUAACUGUUUGUUUUGAGUGUAUUUAUCAGUAGGUUUCUUCUGUGCUGUCAUUUUCUUGUUUUGAUAAUCUAUCUCUUUUGAUUCUUUUUUCUCUUUUUCUAAAAUUUCUGCUAGUUGAAAAAGGCUCUUUUGACCUUUACUGCUUCAUGUUCCUGAACUUGCAUUGACCUAUUGUGAUAAGUUUGUGAGUAUGCAUCUCAUCUAUCACUUGAAAACCUUCUGGCAAUGUUUACCUUACUUUUCUGCAAAUUUAUCUGAAUCCCUGGAAGACGAUCAAUAACUUUGAAAUGCGAAUUACAAAUAUAGUGUCUUCUCAGAGUACAAGUAUUCCAAAGGUUGGUUCUGGUAGAUCAGUUAAAGCAAUAGGAGGUGGAGCAGAGAAAAUUGCUGCAAUAGAGG
RNA transcript from Manihot esculenta (cassava), 2162 nucleotides. It is a transcript of the gene named vacuolar sorting protein 39, with no coding region annotated. The record is from RefSeq and is a predicted model, not a curated record. NCBI's taxonomy places the organism in Eukaryota, Viridiplantae, Streptophyta, Magnoliopsida, Malpighiales, Euphorbiaceae. The transcript has 4 exons.